CUGUAGAAAAUUGGCUGAUAGUGAAGCUCAGAAAGUGUUUGGAGUAGCCCGAUGAAUGGAGGAGCUCAUUAUUGGAGAAGUCCGGAUGGUAUUAUGGAAGCUCGAACGGUCGGGGGAGUUCAAAAAGACGCCGCACAAGGUCGAAAGCCAGAAGAGCCCUGGAAGGGUCAGCCUUUUACGAACUUUGGCUGGGGUUAUUUUAUACCCAACACCAGUCCCCCUACUUUCGAGUUUGGGU
Molecule: long non-coding RNA, 238 nt
Filed under: Elaeis guineensis (African oil palm)
Lineage: Eukaryota; Viridiplantae; Streptophyta; Magnoliopsida; Arecales; Arecaceae
Description: long non-coding RNA (EGUI_LNC056316)
Source: RNAcentral